This 253-nucleotide ribosomal RNA is filed under the name uncultured bacterium. RNAcentral describes it as "partial 16S ribosomal RNA". It matches the Rfam family "Bacterial small subunit ribosomal RNA", at positions 524 to 776 of the family's 1533-position model. The record is from RNAcentral.
UACGGGGGGGGCAAGCGUUGUUCGGAAUUACUGGGCGUAAAGGGCUCGUAGGCGGCCAACUAAGUCAGACGUGAAAUCCCUCGGCUUAACCGGGGAACUGCGUCUGAUACUGGAUGGCUUGAAUCCGGGAGAGGGAUGCGGAAUUCCAGGUGGAGCGGUGAAAUGCGUAGAGAUCGGAAAGAACACCAACGGCGAAAGCACUCUGCUGGGCCGACACUGACACUGAGAGACGAAAGCUAGGGGAGCGAAUGGG